AGCUGCGUGGGAUAAAAAGGGCUGCAACCCGGAUAUCACGUCAGCGCUUGGAAACGUGCAGCAAUAUGGCUGGUUUUCACUUGCAGAUCCUGAGUGGCUCGCUCAGAAGGAGGCUUGCAGUGCUGCUGGCCUGCGAGGAGGUCCCCAGCAAGCAGGGACUAAGGAAGCGGCUGGAGGCGGGGGGAGCCGGGGGCUGCGGGUCCCCUGCCGCGCCGCGGGGCCGGCGGUACCUGCGCGGGAGGCGGCUCCCCGCUCCACAACUGCUCCCUGAGGAGGUGCUGGUAGCUGAGGCAGUGCUUCAGCGCCGACGGCACCGUGCCCAUGGCCAGGCCCGGCCCGGCCCGGCUCCGCUCGCGCCGCCAGCUCAGCGCAUCCUCCCGGCCCCGCAGCGCCGCAGCCCGUGGCAGGAGCGCGGCGCCUCCCAUUGGCCGAGCGCGGGGACCCGCCCCGCUUCGCCCCGCCCCUGCCGGGGUUGCCGCGGACUGAGCGGAGAGCGCUCCUCGCCGCCCUGCAACCCCGCGGCCCGCCCUCUUGCCCACGCACCUGAAGAGCAGCCACCGACCAGUCCGGGCUCCUCCUAGGCCCGCAGCCCUCGUACGUCGCUGCGAGGCUGGCACAAUUGUGCUGGGGGGCUGCAAGCAACCUGGGCCCAGUCGCCGGUCCUUGAUGAUAUCUCCAGUGUCCAAGCGUGGCACGAGGGCAGCAGACGGGUCCUUGUGUUUUCUAAUCCCAGCCCUGGUGGUUUUGGAGAUGAGUGAGGACACUGCCUCGAGGGCAGGGCCUCCAGAGCCUUCCCCCAACUUGAGAUAUUAGGAAGGCUUGACAAGAUAGAUUCAGCUUGCUGACCGCUAUCACCUCCUUCCUAAAUCUGGUUGCCAAAUGAAACAGUUUGAUAGCAGCUGGCCAUUGUUGUGAGGGGGGAUUCUUGUAAAAUUGCUCUAAUGAUUUAACAAAAGUAAUAAAGUGUAUUUCUGUUUUGCAUGGUC
Molecule: long non-coding RNA, 986 nt
Organism: Alligator mississippiensis (American alligator)
Lineage: Eukaryota; Metazoa; Chordata; Crocodylia; Alligatoridae
Exons: 2
Source: RefSeq, a predicted model, not a curated record